Molecule: non-coding RNA, 148 nt
Organism: Gorilla gorilla gorilla (western lowland gorilla)
Lineage: Eukaryota; Metazoa; Chordata; Mammalia; Primates; Hominidae
Rfam family: Metazoan signal recognition particle RNA
About the family: The signal recognition particle (SRP) is a universally conserved ribonucleoprotein. It is involved in the co-translational targeting of proteins to membranes.
Source: Rfam
GCCGGGUGUGGUGACGUGCACCUGUAGUCCCAGCUACUUGGGAGGCUGAGGUAGGAGGGUAGCUUGAACCUGGGAGGUGGAGGUUGCAGUGAGCCAAAAUCGUGCCACUGCACUCCACCCUGGGCAACAGAGCCACACCCUGUCUCAA